Molecule: ribosomal RNA, 449 nt
Filed under: uncultured organism
Description: partial 16S ribosomal RNA
Rfam family: Bacterial small subunit ribosomal RNA
Source: RNAcentral
CACUCCUACGGGAGGCAGCAGUGGGGAAUCUUGCGCAAUGGGCGAAAGCCUGACGCAGCCAUGCCGCGUGAAUGAUGAAGGUCUUAGGAUUGUAAAAUUCUUUCACCGGGGACGAUAAUGACGGUACCCGGAGAAGAAGCCCCGGCUAACUUCGUGCCAGCAGCCGCGGUAAUACGAAGGGGGCUAGCGUUGCGCGGAAUUACUGGGCGUAAAGGGAGCGUAGGCGGACAUUUAAGUCAGGGGUGAAAUCCCGGGGCUCAACCUCGGAGUUGCCUUUGAUACUGGGUGUCUUGAGGAUGAGAGAGGUGUGUGGAACUCCGAGUGUAGAGGGGAAAUUCGUAGAUAUUCGGAAGAACACCAGUGGCGAAGGCGACACACUGGCUCAUUACUGACGCUGAGGCUCGAAAGCGUGGGGAGCAAAAAGGAUUAGAUACCCUGGUAGUCCCAUG